AAACCAGCACCUCAAGUGGUCAGGAGGAUUAUUGGGCCUAAAGCAUCCGUAGCCUGUUCUAUAAGUUUCCGGUUAAAUCCACUAGCUCAACUAGUGGGCUGCCGAAAAUACUGUAGAACUAGGGAGUGGGAGAGGUAGACGGUAUUCGGUAGGAAGGGGUAAAAUCCUUUGAUCUAUUGAGGACCACCUGUGGCGAAGGCGGUCUACCAGAACACGUCCGACGGUGAGGGAUGAAAGCUGGGGGAGCAAACCGGAUUAGAUACCCCAGUAGUCC
RNAcentral lists this ribosomal RNA (274 nucleotides) under uncultured bacterium. RNAcentral's name for it is "partial 16S ribosomal RNA". It matches the Rfam family "Archaeal small subunit ribosomal RNA", at positions 473 to 747 of the family's 1478-position model. The record is from RNAcentral.